AUGAGAUUUAGUCUUUCUUAUUAUAUUUAUAUCUGACAAACAAGAUUCUAAUUGUAUAAGGACACCGUUUACUAGAAUUCACAAAAACAGCCCCUGAAUAUAAAAGGGAGAGAGCUUUGGUUCUCUUUAUAUAAUUCUAAUUUGUAUAAGUGAACUAGUUAAGUAAUGUUGGAAUUCAUUGACAUUAAGAAAGAGAUUUACAUUUUUAUUGUUUUUUGUUCUACCAGAAACUGAUAUAAGUUUUUUCUUUAUUUAUUAGAGGCACAACAAUAAGCAACACAUAAAGAAAUGUACCGGUACAUUCUAAAAAUGCUACACUUUUUUUUUUUUUUUUACUUUUUCUGUGUAUAUUGAACAAGCUAAUUUGAGUAAAGCGAGAAUGAGCUUUAUGUGCGAAGCAACUAGCCGUGAGCAUGUCAGCCACAUAAAGACAUGAGAACGUAAAUUAUCAAAAUUUCCAGGACAUGUCUUGAUUGGUUUUCUUCAUAUGGCCAGGGUUGUCUUAGCAUGACACCACUGUCAUCACACCUUGUUUUGCAGACUGGGAGUAAUUCAAACUGAAUCUCAAUAUUUAAUUUUUCUAAUGCUGUAAUACAUAAAUAUGGGAUGUCCAAUAUUUUGUCCUCCACUGAUAACAAGUACAGAAGAAGCGUUAGUUUUAAACGCACACUUUAUUAAAUAAAAUUAUAUUUAGGGAUAAAGUUACCACUUGGUACACAACAAAAUGGUCCAACAUUAGAUUGGGACUGAGCAACCUAUACCUUCCAUAUCUACUUCAUAGUCAUCUUCUAAAAUUUCUGAAGAUGUUUCUGUAAUUCCAUUAUAAACAUGAAUUAUUAGUCUUCACGUUGAUCAUAUUGAUAUAAGAUAUUUUUUUCCUGCUAAACUAUCAGGGUUACUGACAAAACUGCAAAUUAUAUUAAAUUACAUUUGCAAAACCAACGCUACAUUUGUAAAUGUUAUCAUACGGGUUUAAUUUGCUAAAAUUGUGAGUUUAGAAAAAAAAAGCAUGAUACGUUGACUGCAAAGGUAAGAAAACCUUAGUAGACCAGGAAACAUUUUUAUUUAAAAAGCUCCAAUAUUUGUUCGUCCUAAUUCCUCACCCUCUUCUAGGGUUUUAUCAUCUUUUUCUCCCUCCCUGAUUCCAUUUUUUAAAACAAAACUUUGUAUUAGAGCGUACUAGAAUGUUUAUUGACAAUCAUAUAGUUUUCUACUUGCAUAAUCUGCAUUUAUGCUAAAAUACAAUAAAAUAAAAGUUGAGCC
Pelobates cultripes (western spadefoot toad) is the source of this 1263-nucleotide non-coding RNA. The record is from the annotation of a GenBank genome assembly. NCBI's taxonomy places the organism in Eukaryota, Metazoa, Chordata, Amphibia, Anura, Pelobatidae.